GAAGAUUGGACAUCUGGGAUCUUAAAUUCCUGGUCCUUCAAGGACCUGUUGGAGGAACCAGAAGGUCCAGAGGGGAUUAACAAAGACAUUGCAGCCUGAGAGUUGGAGACUCUGUGUCUGAGGAGGAGGGCUAAGAGGACCAAAGAACGUGGACCAAAUUAGCCAGUUAAGGAUAGACUACUAAUUAGAGUCUUAAUUAAUGAAGAGAAUUCAUUAGUUCAUUAAUUGGGGUAAAUUAGAAGCAAUGAACAUGAAUUUGUUUGUUUGUUCAAAUGUAGAAAUGUGUGAAAAGUCUGGAAAGGGACAGGUGGGGCUGGAAUGAUUGGCUCCCUGUCUCUGGGAGCCAGAACAAAGCAGUGCCUGGCUCACCAACACUUCCCAGGGGCGUUGGAGGGUUUCAUUUCUUCCCAACGCUUUUCAGGGACAAUUCUUGGUGAGCCAGGUGGGACAAUGCUGUCGACCCUCCAGGGAUUCCGGGACCCUGAGGACUCCAGCGAGCAGUGAAAAUAUUCUUCUGGGAGAUCUCAGUCCCUGGAUCUGUGCCAAGGUGAGCCGGGAAGAACGUGAGGUGGUGAGAGCAGCCUGGGCUCACUGCCAAGGGACCGUGCGGCCGGGGCAGGGAAACAACCUGACAGGGGGAUGGGGACAACCAAGGGACUGCAGCAGCAAGCAAAGAUGGCCUGUGAAGGAAGAAAAGAGCGAGGCCUGGCAUGGGAGGAGCGAGGGAGUGGUUCUGCAAAUCGAAGGCUCUUAAAAGGGCUCGUCCCUCCCAUCCUGGGGGUGCUGGAACCUGGUCACGAGUUGGGUGCACCCAACGCUGUUAAUAAAGUUCUUUGUUUCACUUA
Long non-coding RNA from Pseudopipra pipra, 845 nucleotides. RefSeq lists it as uncharacterized. NCBI's taxonomy places the organism in Eukaryota, Metazoa, Chordata, Aves, Passeriformes, Pipridae. The record is from RefSeq and is a predicted model, not a curated record. The transcript is spliced from 2 exons.